AGGGCAUUGCCCCAGUAACGGCGAGUGAAGCGGCAAGAGCUCAAAUUUGAAAGCUGGCUCCUUCGGGGUCCGCAUUGUAAUUUGCAGAGGAUGCUUCGGGAGCGGUCCCCAUCUAAGUGCCCUGGAACGGGACGUCAUAGAGGGUGAGAAUCCCGUAUGGGAUGGGGUGUCCGCGCCCGUGUGAAGCUCCUUCGACGAGUCGAGUUGUUUGGGAAUGCAGCUCUAAAUGGGUGGUAAAUUUCAUCUAAAGCUAAAUAUUGGCCGGAGACCGAUAGCGCACAAGUAGAGUGAUCGAAAGAUGAAAAGCACUUUGAAAAGAGAGUUAAAAAGCACGUGAAAUUGUUGAAAGGGAAGCGCUUGCGACCAGACUCGCUCGCGGGGUUCAGCCGGCAUUCGUGCCGGUGUACUUCCCCGCGAGCGGGCCAGCGUCGGUUUGGGCGGUCGGUCAAAGGCCUCUGGAAGGUAACGCCCCCUCGGGGGCGUCUUAUAGCCAGGGGUGCAAUGCGGCCUGCCCGGACCGAGGAACGCGCUUCGGCUCGGACGCUGGCAUAAUGGUCGUAAGCGACCCGUCUUGAAACACGGACCAAGGAGUCUAACAUCUACGCGAGUGUUCGGGUGUCAAACCCGUGCGCGAAGUGAAAGCGAACGGAGGUGGGAACCCGCAAGGGUGCACCAUCGACCGAUCCUGAAGUCUUCGGAUGGAUUUGAGUAAGAGCGUAGCUGUUGGGACCCGAAAGAUGGUGAACUAUGCCUGAAUAGGGCGAAGCCCGAGGAAACUCUGGUGGAAGCUCGUAGCGGUUCUGACGUGCAAAUCGAUCGUCGAAUUUGGGUAUAGGGGCGAAAGAUAAUCGAACCUCCGGGACUGGUCUC
This 870-nucleotide ribosomal RNA is filed under the name Penicillium sp. RNAcentral's name for it is "partial large subunit ribosomal RNA". It matches the Rfam family "Eukaryotic large subunit ribosomal RNA", at positions 69 to 958 of the family's 3401-position model. Lineage: Eukaryota; Fungi; Ascomycota; Eurotiomycetes; Eurotiales; Aspergillaceae. The record is from RNAcentral.